ACCUUUUCAAAUUUUCAUUAUCUUUUCUCGUUACAGUUAAAUUAUGGUAAUCUUCUAUAACAGGGGUGGGACCAUUAUGGAAUGAAGUUAUUUGCCACUUUAUUGAGCUUACUGAUAGUUCAAAUCAGCAUGUGAGAACUAUAGCACUGAAUGCAAUGGAUCAAUCUAUUUCCGCUGUUUUAGGAUCUAAUCAGGUCCAGGAAUAUGCAUCAUCCAAGCUCCAGGGUGCAUGCAAUGAUGUACAAACUGAGAAUAUAGAGUUGAGGUCACUGGAGUGUGCUGUCAUUUCUCCACUGAAAGUGCUAUAUUCUUCAGCUCAGAACAUCGAUGUUCGUGCUGGAUCUCUCAAAAUUCUUCUUCACGUUUUAGAGGUAGUGUUAUCCAAGUUACUGUUUUACUCCAUAGCACUGAUUCACAGAUGCAGAACUCUCUUCUUGUGAUCCUCUCUCACUGCUGUUU
This is a non-coding RNA of Nicotiana tabacum (common tobacco), 459 nucleotides long. NCBI's taxonomy places the organism in Eukaryota, Viridiplantae, Streptophyta, Magnoliopsida, Solanales, Solanaceae. The record is from RefSeq and is a predicted model, not a curated record.